UACGAAGGGGGCUAGCGUUGUUCGGAAUUACUGGGCGUAAAGCGCGCGCAGGCGGUCUUCCAAGUCAGUGGUGAAAGCCCGGAGCUCAACUCCGGAACUGCCAUUGAAACUGUUAGACUUGAGGAUGAGAGAGGUGAGUGGAAUUCCCAGUGUAGAGGUGAAAUUCGUAGAUAUUGGGAAGAACACCGGUGGCGAAGGCGGCUCACUGGCCCGAUACUGACGCUGAGGCACGAAAGCGUGGGGAGCAAACAGG
RNAcentral lists this ribosomal RNA (253 nucleotides) under uncultured bacterium. RNAcentral's name for it is "partial 16S ribosomal RNA". It matches the Rfam family "Bacterial small subunit ribosomal RNA", at positions 524 to 776 of the family's 1533-position model. The record is from RNAcentral.